RNAcentral lists this long non-coding RNA (262 nucleotides) under Elaeis guineensis (African oil palm). RNAcentral's name for it is "long non-coding RNA (EGUI_LNC021151)". Lineage: Eukaryota; Viridiplantae; Streptophyta; Magnoliopsida; Arecales; Arecaceae. The record is from RNAcentral.
UCACUUUUAUUCCUCCUAUCUUCUCUUCUUUUUUUUUAAACUCCUUAUCUUGUGAGGAUAGGUGGGGCACGACACGGUGGCUCAAAUCAUCAGGAUGAGCGACGUAGAAAAGGAACUAACUGAGCUGGAGAAGAAGCAUGAAUUGGCCGAACCUUCAAAGAUUGAAGCCAAAUCAAGGACGAAAGCAGUAAACGCUAAGGUUGCCCGCUUGAAGGGCAAAUUAAAAGAAAUCAAAGCCGUAUUGGCUUCGAAGAAAAAAGAG